This is a long non-coding RNA of Alosa sapidissima (American shad), 733 nucleotides long. RefSeq lists it as uncharacterized. The record is from RefSeq and is a predicted model, not a curated record. Lineage: Eukaryota; Metazoa; Chordata; Actinopteri; Clupeiformes; Clupeidae. The transcript is spliced from 2 exons.
UCAGUCUGGAAGUUAGUUGAUUAAUAAUUGUUUGGUAUGUCGAUCUUUUGGUUUCUGACCAGCUGUGUAUCAGCACGGCAGGAUACUGAUUCAACUAAAGCGAUCAAGAAAAAGGUUAAGAAAUACAAACUGUGGGAGUUGUAUCAAGAAUUGUUGGCUUUAGGUGUCCACCUUGAUGAGGAAAAUUACAAGGAAGAAAUGAAAAGCAAAAAGAAGAUAAAACGGGCCAUACAAAAGUGUCUCAUUAGUGAACUGAUGAAGGUGCAAGAGGAGAGAGCCAAGAAGAAACAGAGGGAAGGAACAGUGGGAUGUGUUCUCUGUCGACACAUAAAGGAUAAUACCGAUAUUAUUCAGAAUGUGCCGAAUGAUCAAAAUGAUACCACUGAUGAAAAACCCUCUAUCCUGGCAAAAAUGGAGAAUACUCUGAACGUAAACAACAUCAGAAUGGAUCUCAGCACAGGGGAAGGAGAGGCCUCCAAACUUAACAUGGGUGAUGAGAGGACACAGCCAGGAGAGCUGGAGGUGGAAAAAGUGGACAAAGUGCUGAGGCCCUGGACUGGAGAUGGGAAGGAGAGGACAGGACAGGAAGUCCAUUUCUGAUGUCACUGCAAACCACAAACUGCAUCUUCAUACCUCUGCUGUUGCUUGUUUAUUUUUCUUGGCCCACAAGUGCAAGUACAACAACAACAACAACAAAAGAAACACACUUCAAUAAAAGGUUUAUUGAACAUAA